Long non-coding RNA from Alexandromys fortis (reed vole), 2679 nucleotides. RefSeq lists it as uncharacterized. NCBI's taxonomy places the organism in Eukaryota, Metazoa, Chordata, Mammalia, Rodentia, Cricetidae. The record is from RefSeq and is a predicted model, not a curated record. The transcript has 3 exons.
UGAACCCCACAUGGUGAAUGUGAGUCCCACGACAUCUGCAAAACUUCAGCCCAAGAACAGGAAACUGUAGGGGAAUAAUUACACCACUGAGGGCCCAGCCCUGCUCUGAGUGCUAAACACAAGCAGUCAGGACAAACAGUUCCUUUUCAGGGGCUGGGCAAGGCCUUGGUUUGUGGGGCUGUGUUUCUAUAAGGCUUACACUGAUAGGGAAGACUGCUAAUUUCCCUUCGGAUAUCUGUAAACAGAUAGUUAGAUCCUAGAUGGUUCCUAGCACAGACAUCAAUAUUAGAGGCACUGAAUUUGGGCAUUACAAAGGUUGUGUGCACUCUUAGGGCUCAUGGGACUCCUACUUCUGCUGACAGUGGAGCCACCCUGCUUCAGUUCCAGAUCGCAUUGACUUAUUUUCUGAAAGAAAACACGCCAACAGUGCAAUCACAAGGAGAGUCAAAAGGGCUUCCGCACCAAACGCUAUUGUAUUUAAAAUGAUCUAGACAGCAAACACAACACAGGCAGAUAGACGGAGGGUUGGCAGGAGAAAGGGAAAAAUCAACAAAGGCAGUGUCAAAGUCCUGGAAGCAAAUGCAAACCCCACAGAAAAUUUCAUCAGGGCUUUUGCAAUCACGCUGCUCUUUAAAGCGGGUCAGGGGGCGAAGAAAGGAGUCAACCGCGGGCUUUCUGUCCUACCAGGGGUGAGGGAACCUCAUUCUUGUGGUGGGUUUGUGCUUUUAGAUUUGCUAGCCAUACCGAAAGGAAGAACUUACAGUGACUACAGGUGGGAGCACCUGCUGUGCUCCCCAAGGGGCAGAGAGGCUUCAUCACAUCCCUUCUGUGUUUCUGAGUCAAUGGGCACUCCUGGAGACCAGCAGCAGCCCCAGGCCUUCGACUAGGAAAGUUCUCCUCAUAGGCUUUUGUGGACGCACAUGUUCCCCACCCAGGGCUGGAAGCCGGGUGAUGUGGCAGGGCCUUGCAAAUUUCAACAGCACAGAGAAGGCCAAGGCGGUCUUCUCUUUCUUCCAGAAGCUGAAUACAGCAGCCCCCGCAAAAAGCUCGUGGGGCUUGCUGUUUGAGUCCCUGCUCCUGCACAACACAUCCUUUCACACUGCACUUCUCAUCAGAGGUGUUUACUCUCUGGGUCCCCAGAGACAGCGCAGAACAGACAAUAGGACACGAAGAAACAUUCUGCAGGCUCUCACUGCCCCCUGUCUGAACGGCCUGCAGUUACAUUCAGUGGACUCUGGGUUGGGAGGCUGCGUAGCAGACGUGCCUGUGGGUUUGUAGGUGACGCCUCUCUUUAGUUGUCAACUACUUUGGUUCUCAGUUAAGGCUCAGAGAUUCAGGAAUAGCCACUGAGUCAGCAGACCAAGGGCCAAAGAGGGCACUACAGGCCAUGGCUGUGGUUUGCACAAUACGUUCCUGUUGGCUGUACCCAAUCUUAUACCAAAGUGCUGACUCUUCUCAAACCUCUGGAACUCACAGGGAGUGCAGGAUUAGAGGUCAUUUUCCAGUAUGGGACGUAUGCUGCCCAGCAAAGAAUGCCCAAGGGAGGUUAGACUUUGUGAGAGCCCCAGCUCUUGAGCCAUCUGUGAAGUGGAUUCCUGCAGCACAACCAGGGGCCUCUGAUCUAGAGAGAGCAAAGGGCAGAGGACCUGCUGAAGGAUGCAUGAAACCUAAACCUCCCUUCUCAGCACAUCUGCAUGGCUAGAUAGAAAGCCUGGACCAGGGAGGUUGGACAAGCUGCAGGCAGACCUGGGAGGCGGUGUUUCCUUUUCAUCAGUCAGAAAACUACUUGCUAACAACCGCCCACAUCCUGGAGCUUAAGCUACCCUCCCCAUCUCCAUUAAAAAUAUAAUCAAAAACACCACUUCCUAUGCAGAAUUCAAAUAUGAGACAAAAGAAGAAAAGUUCCCACUCUGAAACAAUGCCUAUCUUGCCUUGAUGGAUUUCUCUGCAAUGUUUGCUCUGCAGUUUUCACUCGCUAUCUUGCUUCACCAAGUCUGUGAACACACAUUUUACUGCCUGCUGCUUCCAGUGUGCUGGCUGAAGGAUAUUGGAGAAGGAGGGUGGAGAAACAGAAGAACGGACUGUGAAGUUUUUCUGCUUCCCUUCUCGGGUCUUACCAGAUAUGAGCUGAAGCCAUAGGCACACAGUGCCAGACUGAGUGGGCACCUUGGAGGCCAUGACAAUAUAUGGGCUCUCCAAGACCAAGAGAUAGAUGCUCCCGUAUCACCUCCCUUCUACUCGGUAUCCCAGACACCAGGGGUUCACUCUGAAGACUACAAAGACUACUAGCUAUGUGGUCCCAGACACUAACAGGAAAGCCGGGACCAGGCAGGCUAGCAAAGAAGAGGAAGUGAAGCCAGGGUGUGUCUAGAGCUACUAGGCAGCGUUGGAGUCCAUCUUCAAAACAGCCUGAAGUUAGAGCUCCCGGCAUGUGCGUUCUGCCCCGCGGCCCUGUGGAUGCUGAAUCAACCACACGUGGCUCCUAGGCUACCUCACCUCGCCUCUCACGCAUUCCUGCUAUCUGGCAGAGCUAACCUUUGCUGAGCAAGAAAGGCCGAAAAGCAGAGUUCCCAUGGUCCUCUUGGGGGCGCUGGCAUGCGCUGUCCUUCCGGCACACAAACAGGCCAUCCUCACUGUUCAGGAGCUGCGUCUGCAGGAAGCUGAAGCAGGAGUCCUCCA